Molecule: long non-coding RNA, 839 nt
Organism: Zea mays
Lineage: Eukaryota; Viridiplantae; Streptophyta; Magnoliopsida; Poales; Poaceae
Exons: 5
Source: RefSeq, a predicted model, not a curated record
UGAGGGACGACCGCGACCGCCGCUGGGAUGGGAGAGUUCUGUUUUCUUUAUCAGAAGGUGUUUUUCUACAUUUGUUGAACUAAUCUCGACCGCGACCGCCGCUGGGAUGCCCACAACAUAGCAGAAGCUCAAAUGGCACAUUCAUCAACUGGAAAAGGCCAAGAAAAAUUCAUCCCCGGUCAAGCUUAAUCAUGGCGACAUUAUAUCAUUAUCAUCACCUCCUCAUGACGACAAUUCCUUUGUAUUUAUCUACCGGGAAAUGCAAUCAGUCGUGUAGAGAAUGGGGCUCCCAUUCUUAAAAGGAAGUCAGUGGAGGGUGGUUCUGGAAGUAAGAGGUUAAAGGGUCUUGGUAUUGGUUCUCCUGAUGGUCCUGUUUCACUAGAUGAUGUCCGAAGACUAGAAAAAUCUAAUGUUGAUCUCAGGGAACAACUUGAGGCACAUGUUGUGACAAUUGAGACUUUGAGGGCUGAAAUAAAAACAGCCCAAGUGCAGCAUGGAAAGGUCAUAUAUUACUUCCAUGUCCCUCCCCCGUUUUUUUGCAUGAUGUGUUUUUUUUUGCUUUUGUCUCGGUGUUAUAUCUCUCCUACCAUAAAUAAUUUUGCCUCUUGUAUUUCAUGGCCCAAUGUCACUUCUAAAUUCUAAUAUUAGUCUACUUGAUUAUGAUGUUUCACAAUGUCGAUUAUGGACUAGAGAUUGCAGGAAGUUGGGAAAUAUAUCACCUUAGACAAAUUUGAUAAAACGGCUCGCCCAUUUGCAAUACUAGCUGAAGAUUUUCCUCCAACUGCUCCUCAACCCUUGCAUGUUCGCUUCUGCAAAGAUAUUGAAUUACAAGGAGGAAA